GGCAAUAAAAAAUGUAUGUAAUUUGAUAAUGGUGCGACAAUUAGUCAAUGUAAAUUAUUAUUAUUAUUAUUUGAAGUAAAUUACUUCCUUACCGACCAUCGAGAAAACAUUGAUAAAGAAAUGAUAGAUAAAACAAGCAAUGUCAUCUACUCAACUUACGUCGCUGUAUAUGAAAUUUAUGAUUAUGAACUUUUAUAUAUGUACAUAUCAUAUAUUAUUAUUGAGCAAGCUCUCGAAACGUCGAUAAAUAAAAAAACAAUCUUAAUAUUUCUUAUACGUAUAAGUUAGUACGCUAAUUAUUUGUCUGCGUUCGAAUAAAAUAGUUUGAUUCGAAUAGUUUGAUUCGGUAGUGCCUAUUCGCUCGUUACGCGAAAAUUCUUUGAUCUUACAAAAAGAUUAAUUAUAUUUGCUAAUUAGAAAGUACGAUCAAUAAAUACAAAGGAUAUUCGUUUCAAUCGCAGCACCAUUGCCGUUACCGGAACGACGACGUCUAUUUGUACAGGGUGAAGUUUAUACUUAUACGAUGGCUUUUUUCAAUUUGGAAAUUUCCCCAAACAAGGAAAAUUGAUACAUCAUUAUUUGCUUCUCUUAAAAUCCAUGCAUUUUUGAUUAGACACAUAGUUUAAAAGUUAUUUGAGAUAUGUAAGUUUUGGAAUCACCCUGUAUACUAGUAUAUAGUAUUUAUUUCUCUUUUUUCAGAAUCAUUAUCGAAUAAGUAUAUAAGUAAUACUUAUGUUCGCAGUUAACCACCGACAAUGGAAGAUAACGUCGAAACGUCUACCUUUAUGGAGACUUAUAUUUAUAUCUAUUUGUGAUGUAACGAUAUGCAGAAGGGCUGGGGAGGAAGGGGAAGCAUAUAGAAAGGAAGCUUUCUAUUGCCACCUAACGUACGAGCAAUACAUAUAUGUAAUAUAUUACACACGGGAUCCAGACACAGCCUCGCAAAACAUGAGAGAACAAAGAGGGAGAAGUAUAGGGGA
RNAcentral lists this long non-coding RNA (980 nucleotides) under Polistes fuscatus (common paper wasp). RNAcentral describes it as "uncharacterized LOC122514874". The record is from RNAcentral. Lineage: Eukaryota; Metazoa; Arthropoda; Insecta; Hymenoptera; Vespidae.